CCACAACAAUGUAUUCUAAUUCCUUUGCAAAAUAGCCUAUAAGAGAUCUUCACGGAACCCCUGGCCUUGGGCCACAAAGAAGCAAAAAAACUAAUGUCCUAAAUCCUUGACAACUCUAGCAUCGUGCUGUAGCUCCAAUUUGGGAGUUCGUUUUCAAGGCACCUUAGCUUACUUCUUCUACCCAGCUCCCUUGAGAGACCUAGAGGAAAUAUAUCAGAGGGAAGGGGGAGGCACCUAUAUGAUGCCAUAAGCAUACAAAAGCUUGGAUCAAUUUUCCAAGUCACGUCCCAAUGCAAGAAGAUAUGGCGGUGGUUAUCCUUGAAGCACAUACAAUUCAUAUUUUAGAAAAGAACAGAGUUUGGUGCACGGACUUGCAGUAGAUCAUUCGUUAUGAGCCUAUUCAAGACAAAUUCCUGAUGAAAACCUUAGCCAUAGCGAUUUUAACCUUUUAGGAAAGCACUAGUGAAAGAUUCAUUGUAGCAACUACAGUUAUGGGUAAGAUGGGUGAAAAGGGACUUGCAAG
This 523-nucleotide long non-coding RNA is filed under the name Carica papaya (papaya). RNAcentral describes it as "long non-coding RNA (CPAP_LNC008685)". The record is from RNAcentral. Lineage: Eukaryota; Viridiplantae; Streptophyta; Magnoliopsida; Brassicales; Caricaceae.